GUAGCCGGCGGGCUGGCAGUGAGACUGACUGCGUCGGGGUUGAGACUGGGUGGAUGAGGCUCACCCCGGCGGGGAGAAGGGACGAGGAGGGGCGGACAGCGGAAGGUCCGGGAGUGUCCGCCAUAAAGUCGUUUGAGCUGAGUCAUUGAAAGCAGCCAGCUACAAACAGACACAUUCCAGGCAGUGGAGAAAGAGGAGAAAAAUGCCCCCUAACUUCUCAUCAGAAAAACAAAGGCCUAAUGAAAAUGGAAAGUUGUCUUUAAAGUGCUGAAGGGGGAAAAAAAACCUUCAUGCUAAAUAUGCUUCACGUAUGAGGAUGAACUCAAGUUUUAACUUCUAGUCAUGGCGAAUGAUCGCAGGAGAGCACAGACUGGACCCUGCUACGAUCUCUCUUGGAGUGGAUCAGACUGAUGAUCACCAACAACCAACUCAUUCCCGGAUAAGGAAGAAGAGAGUGUCACCUACUUCAGUGUGGUUUCAACCCUACUUCUGCAUCUUAAAGACACUGUAUGGUUUCAGCAGUAGUGCCCCUGUUCAUUAGUCCCCCUGAUGUUUUCAUUCCUCAUCUCAUCUUUUUCUUAGCAGCAUUCAAUGAAUCCUUCAUUCUAGAAACACUCUAUAUCUUUGGUUUUCAUGAGACCAUUCUCACCUUGUUUUGUCCUGUGACUUUUUUGAAAAAAACAAAAACAAAAAACCCUUUUUUUCUUUUUAAAUUCUGGUAAAAAACACAAUGAAAAUUUGCUAUCUUAACCAUGUUGAAAUGUGCAGUUAGUAAAGUACAUUCACAUUGUGGUGCAAGCCAUCACUACCAUCCAUCACUAGAACCCUUUUCAUCUUGCAGAUCUGAAACUCUACCCAUUAAACGACUUCCCAUCUUCCCAUCCCCACAGCUCCUAGCAACCAACAUUCUACUUUCUCUAUCAGUUUGACUACUCUAGGUACCUCAUAUGAGUAGAAUCAUACAGCAUUUAUCCUUCUCUGCCUGGCUUAUUUCACUUGUAUAAUGUCCUCAAGGUUCAUUCAUGUUGUAGCAUGCAUCAGAACUUCCUCCCCUUUUAAAGGCUGGAUAAUAUUUCAUGGUAUGUUUAGAUCACAUUCUGUUUAUCCAUUCAUCCAUCAGUGAACACUUGUGCUCCUUCCAACUUUGGGCUGUUGGGUGUCCUGCCACUGUUGCUCCUAGUGCUCAAUCUCGUUUAUUCCCUCCUAAUCAAGUGUACAACGUUGGACACUGUGCAGGAUGAUGCCACUUCAUCUUGGAUGCUAAUCUGCCAUGUUGACUUCUGAUUAACCCCAGGCCCAGGAAUGCCUCAAGAUUUCUACUUUACUUACUGUUGCUUGUGUAAGCCAAGACAACCUUGAUGUUAUCAUAAACAUGUACUUACCUAAGUCCUGUCCUUUGGCAAAUUAUGGGCUAUGAGACACAGCAUUCUUGCCUUUCCCUGAGGGGUCAAUUUCAGCGAUCCUACACAUUCCUUCUGAAGCACUUAUGCUCUUUCUAUAUGGUAUGUAAGCUCUCGGUCUGGGGAGUAACAGUGCAGAGAUCUACCUGUCUUGUUGCCACAUGUUUCUAAACUUUCCAAUAAAUCACCUUCUACUGACAAA
Long non-coding RNA from Homo sapiens (human), 1602 nucleotides. Ensembl annotates it as ZNF667 antisense RNA 1 (head to head). Its record names the gene ZNF667-AS1. NCBI's taxonomy places the organism in Eukaryota, Metazoa, Chordata, Mammalia, Primates, Hominidae. The record is from Ensembl.